This 854-nucleotide ribosomal RNA is filed under the name uncultured bacterium. RNAcentral's name for it is "bacterial SSU rRNA". It matches the Rfam family "Bacterial small subunit ribosomal RNA", at positions 8 to 853 of the family's 1533-position model. The record is from RNAcentral.
AGAGUUUGAUCAUGGCUCAGAUUGAACGCUGGCGGCAGGCUUAACACAUGCAAGUCGAACGGUAACAGGAGAAAGCUUGCUUUCUUGCUGACGAGUGGCGGACGGGUGAGUAAUGCUUGGGAAUCUGGCUUAUGGAGGGGGAUAACUACGGGAAACUGUAGCUAAUACCGCGUAAUAUCUUCGGAUUAAAGGGUGGGACUUUCGGGCCACCUGCCAUAAGAUGAGCCCAAGUGGGAUUAGGUAGUUGGUGGGGUAAAGGCCUACCAAGCCGACGAUCUCUAGCUGGUCUGAGAGGAUGACCAGCCACACUGGAACUGAGACACGGUCCAGACUCCUACGGGAGGCAGCAGUGGGGAAUAUUGCACAAUGGGGGGAACCCUGAUGCAGCCAUGCCGCGUGAAUGAAGAAGGCCUUCGGGUUGUAAAGUUCUUUCGGUGAUGAGGAAGGUGUUUGUUUUAAUAGAACAAGCAAUUGACGUUAGUCACAGAAGAAGCACCGGCUAACUCCGUGCCAGCAGCCGCGGUAAUACGGAGGGUGCGAGCGUUAAUCGGAAUGACUGGGCGUAAAGGGCACGCAGGCGGUGACUUAAGUGAGAUGUGAAAGCCCCGAGCUUAACUUGGGAAUUGCAUUUCAUACUGGGUCGCUAGAGUAUUUUAGGGAGGGGUAGAAUUCCACGUGUAGCGGUGAAAUGCGUAGAGAUGUGGAGGAAUACCGAAGGCGAAGGCAGCCCCUUGGGAAUAUACUGACGCUCAUGUGCGAAAGCGUGGGGAGCAAACAGGAUUAGAUACCCUAGUAGUCCACGCUGUAAACGCUGUCGAUUUGGGGAUUGGGCUUAGAGCUUGGUGCCCGUAGCU